AAACGCGACCCCAGGUCA
RNAcentral lists this ribosomal RNA (18 nucleotides) under Perebea tessmannii. RNAcentral describes it as "partial 26S ribosomal RNA". Lineage: Eukaryota; Viridiplantae; Streptophyta; Magnoliopsida; Rosales; Moraceae. The record is from RNAcentral.